AAUUCGCCCUUAGAGUUUGAUCAUGGCUCAGAUUGAACGCUGGCGGCAUGCCUUACACAUGCAAGUCGAACGGUAACAGGUCUUCGGACGCUGACGAGUGGCGAACGGGUGAGUAAUACAUCGGAACGUGCCCAGUCGUGGGGGAUAACUACUCGAAAGAGUAGCUAAUACCGCAUACGAUCUGAGGAUGAAAGCGGGGGACCUUCGGGCCUCGCGCGAUUGGAGCGGCCGAUGGCAGAUUAGGUAGUUGGUGGGAUAAAAGCUUACCAAGCCGACGAUCUGUAGCUGGUCUGAGAGGACGACCAGCCACACUGGGACUGAGACACGGCCCAGACUCCUACGGGAGGCAGCAGUGGGGAAUUUUGGACAAUGGGCGAAAGCCUGACCCAGCAAUGCCGCGUGCAGGAUGAAGGCCUUCGGGUUGUAAACUGCUUUUGUACGGAACGAAAAAGCUUCUCCUAAUACGAGAGGCCCAUGACGGUACCGU
This 487-nucleotide ribosomal RNA is filed under the name uncultured bacterium. Its description in RNAcentral is "bacterial SSU rRNA". It matches the Rfam family "Bacterial small subunit ribosomal RNA", at positions 1 to 481 of the family's 1533-position model. The record is from RNAcentral.